UCUGGUUGAUUCUGCCAGUAGUCAUAUGCUUGUCUCAAAGAUUAAGCCAUGCAUGUCUAAGUUUAAGCGAUUAAACGGUGAAACUGCGAAUGGCUCAUUAAAUCAGUUAUCGUUUAUUUGAUAGUACCUUACUACAUGGAUACCUGUGGUAAUUCUAGAGCUAAUACAUGCUGAAAACCCCAACUUCGGAAGGGUGUAUUUAUUAGAUAAAAAACCAAUGCCCUUCGGGGCUCCUUGGUGAUUCAUAAUAACUUAACGAAUCGCAUGGCUUGCGCCGGCGAUGGUUCAUUCAAAUUUCUGCCUAUCAACUUUCGAUGGUAGGAUAGUGGCCUACCAUGGUGGCAACGGGUAACGGGGAAUUAGGGUUCGAUUCCGGAGAGGGAGCCUGAGAAACGGCUACCACAUCCAAGGAAGGCAGCAGGCGCGCAAAUUACCCAAUCCCGACACGGGGAGGUAGUGACAAUAGAAUACUGAUACGGGCUCUUUCGGGUCUCGUAAUUGGAAUGAGUACAAUUUAAACCCUUAACGAGGAACAAUUGGGAGGGCAAGUCUGGUGCCAGCAGCCGCGGUAAUUCCAGCUCCAAAUAGCGUAUAUUAAAGUUGUUGCAGUUAAAAAGCUCGUAGUUGAACCUUGGGUCUGGCUGGCCGGUCCGCCUCACCGCGAGUACUGGUCCGGCUGGACCUUUCCUUCUGGGGAACCUCAUGGCCUUCACUGGCUGUGGGGGGAACCAGGACUUUUACUGUGAAAAAAUUAGAGUGUUCAAAGCAGGCCUUUGCUCGAAUACAUUAGCAUGGAAUAAUAGAAUAGGACGUGCGGUUCUAUUUUGUUGGUUUCUAGGACCGCCGUAAUGAUUAAUAGGGAUAGUCGGGGGCGUCAGUAUUCAGCUGUCAGAGGUGAAAUUCUUGGAUUUGCUGAAGACUAACUACUGCGAAAGCAUUCGCCAAGGAUUUUUCAUUAAUCAGGGAACGAAAGUUAGGGGAUCGAAGACGAUCAGAUACCGUCGUAGUCUUAACCAUAAACUAUGCCGACUAGGG
Molecule: ribosomal RNA, 1035 nt
Filed under: Aspergillus campestris IBT 28561
Lineage: Eukaryota; Fungi; Ascomycota; Eurotiomycetes; Eurotiales; Aspergillaceae
Description: SSU rRNA
Rfam family: Eukaryotic small subunit ribosomal RNA
Source: RNAcentral